CUCGUCCACAAUCCGAAUCUCACGAACGACUCUCGGCAACGGAUAUCUCGGCUCUCGCAUCGAUGAAGAACGUAGCGAAAUGCGAUACUUGGUGUGAAUUGCAGAAUCCCGUGAACCAUCGAGUCUUUGAACGCAAGUUGCGCCCUAGGCCACCGGGCCGAGGGCACGCCUGCCUGGGCGUCACGCAUCGCGUCGCCCGCCCACACCCCGCCCCCNGCGGCGGGACGUGUGCGGAGCGGAGUCUGGCCCCCCGUGUCCCCUCYGGGGCGCGGCCGGCCCAAAGGCAAAGGCCCCCUGUGUGGCGAGCGUCACGACGAGUGGUGGUAGAAGCCACUGUGCCAUUAGUCCGGACGUCGUGCYCGCGUCGCCCCGCCCCGGGAGCCGACGACCCUGAAGAUGCGCUWCGGCGCUCCGACCGCGACCCCAG
This 427-nucleotide ribosomal RNA is filed under the name Grevillea montis-cole subsp. brevistyla. Its description in RNAcentral is "eukaryotic LSU rRNA". The stretch from base 28 to 183 matches the Rfam family "5.8S ribosomal RNA". The record is from RNAcentral. Lineage: Eukaryota; Viridiplantae; Streptophyta; Magnoliopsida; Proteales; Proteaceae.